AAUAGAUACCCGGGUAGUCCACGCCGUAAACGAUGAGUGCUAAGUGUUAGGGGGUUUCCGGCCCCUUAGUGCUGCAGCUAACGCAUUAAGCACUCCGCCUGGGGAGUACGGUCGCAAGACUGAAACUCAAAGGAAUUGACGGGGGCCCGCACAAGCGGUGGAGCAUGUGGUUUAAUUCGAAGCAACGCGAAGAACCUUACCAGGUCUUGACAUCCCGCUGACCGCUAUGGAGACAUAGUUUUCCCUUCGGGGACAGCGGUGACAGGUGGUGCAUGGUUGUCGUCAGCUCGUGUCGUGAGAUGUUGGGGUUAAGUCCCGCAACGAGCGCAACCCCUUGUCCUUAGUUGCCAUCAUUCAGUUGGGCACUCUAAGGAGACUGCCGGCUAAAAGUCGGAGGAAGGUGGGGAUGACGUCAAAGUCAUCAUGCCCCUUAUGACCUGGGCUACACACGUGCUACAAUGGACGGUACAAACGGUUGCGAAGUCGCGAGAUGGAGCUAAUCCGAGAAAACCGUUCUCAGUUCGGAUUGCAGGCUGC
RNAcentral lists this ribosomal RNA (537 nucleotides) under uncultured bacterium. RNAcentral's name for it is "bacterial SSU rRNA". It matches the Rfam family "Bacterial small subunit ribosomal RNA", at positions 777 to 1308 of the family's 1533-position model. The record is from RNAcentral.